UAUACCAUAAAAGAACCCUUGGUUGGUUCAAUCAGGGGCCUAAAGGACUGUCUUCCUGUGGUCUGUUGGCUGUCCUGGAAUCUCAGCAGAGAGUGGCUAUUUCAUUUGGAAGAAAAAAUC
This 120-nucleotide small nucleolar RNA is filed under the name Tupaia belangeri (northern tree shrew). The record is from RNAcentral. Lineage: Eukaryota; Metazoa; Chordata; Mammalia; Scandentia; Tupaiidae.